This 371-nucleotide long non-coding RNA is filed under the name Mytilus galloprovincialis (Mediterranean mussel). Lineage: Eukaryota; Metazoa; Mollusca; Bivalvia; Mytilida; Mytilidae. The record is from RNAcentral.
CAGAUUUUCUCCAAGGACCACCUGGGGAAAAAAGAUUUCGUGAACUCUGCAAAAAAACAAAAAAUCUAAAUUCAAAUUAACAAAUUUACAAAAUUAUGAAAAAAUCAAUAAAUUAAAAGCAGUAAUAAAAAAAUGACAAACAGAAGGGGUGGUCUCUGCUGAAAGUUUCCCUUUAAUCACCAUAUUUACAGAAAAACUCUAAACAUUGCUACACAGUAUCAAUGAAAGGCCAGAACAAUGAUUUGUAGUUGCAUUAUGCAACUACAAAUCAUAGGUGGAUAUAUUUAAAAACAAAUAUGUAACACAUAAUAAAUAAAGACAAUCACUGAAUUACAGGCUCCUGACUUGUGACAGGCACACUCAGCAGGCAC